Molecule: ribosomal RNA, 119 nt
Filed under: Callithrix jacchus (white-tufted-ear marmoset)
Lineage: Eukaryota; Metazoa; Chordata; Mammalia; Primates; Cebidae
Source: RNAcentral
AUCUAUAGCCAUACCACCCUGAAUGCACCCAAUCUCAUCAGAUCUUGGAAGCUAAGCAGGGUUGGGCCUGGUUAGUACUUGGAAGGAAGACUGUCCAGGAAUACCAGGUGCUGUAGGCU